This 300-nucleotide unclassified non-coding RNA is filed under the name Agaricostilbales sp. Its description in RNAcentral is "partial contains 5.8S ribosomal RNA, internal transcribed spacer 2, and large subunit ribosomal RNA". Lineage: Eukaryota; Fungi; Basidiomycota; Agaricostilbomycetes; Agaricostilbales. The record is from RNAcentral.
CGCACCUUGCGCUCAUGGGUCAUUCCCGUGAGCAUGCUUGUUUGAGUGUCGCGUACCUCUCAACCCCGUCUUUUUCGGAAGGUAGACUUUAGGGUUUGGAUCAUGACGCCUUGUCUCUUUGCUUGCAUCGAGACUGCGUUGAAAUGCAAAAAGCUGUAUCUUGUUACUUGGCGGCUUGACCUGUUGUCAUAAGUUUCACUUUCAACGGGGACGCUAGUAGGAAUGAGCUUACCAUAAAAGGCCCUCGGGCCCCUUUUAUACUUUGACCUCAAAUCAAGUAGGACUACCCGCUGAACUUAA